RNAcentral lists this ribosomal RNA (253 nucleotides) under uncultured bacterium. Its description in RNAcentral is "partial 16S ribosomal RNA". It matches the Rfam family "Bacterial small subunit ribosomal RNA", at positions 524 to 776 of the family's 1533-position model. The record is from RNAcentral.
UACGGGGGGGGCAAGCGUUGUUCGGAAUUACUGGGCGUAAAGGGCUCGUAGGCGGCCAACUAAGUCAGACGUGAAAUCCCUCGGCUUAACCUGGGAACUGCGUCUGAUACUGGGAGGCUUGAGUAUGGGAGAGGGAUGUAGAAUUCCAGGUGUAGCGGUGAAAUGCGUAGAUAUCUGGAGGAAUACCGGUGGCGAAGGCGGCAUCCUGGACCAUAACUGACGCUGAGGCGCGAAAGCUAGGGGAGCAAACGGG